Molecule: ribosomal RNA, 1217 nt
Filed under: Acinetobacter johnsonii
Lineage: Bacteria; Pseudomonadati; Pseudomonadota; Gammaproteobacteria; Moraxellales; Moraxellaceae
Description: bacterial SSU rRNA
Rfam family: Bacterial small subunit ribosomal RNA
Source: RNAcentral
AAGUCGAGCGGGGUGAUGUAGCUUGCUACAUUACCUAGCGGCGGACGGGUGAGUAAUGCUUAGGAAUCUGCCUAUUAGUGGGGGACAACAUUCCGAAAGGAAUGCUAAUACCGCAUACGCCCUACGGGGGAAAGCAGGGGAUCUUCGGACCUUGCGCUAAUAGAUGAGCCUAAGUCAGAUUAGCUAGUUGGUGGGGUAAAGGCCUACCAAGGCGACGAUCUGUAGCGGGUCUGAGAGGAUGAUCCGCCACACUGGGACUGAGACACGGCCCAGACUCCUACGGGAGGCAGCAGUGGGGAAUAUUGGACAAUGGGCGAAAGCCUGAUCCAGCCAUGCCGCGUGUGUGAAGAAGGCCUUUUGGUUGUAAAGCACUUUAAGCGAGGAGGAGGCUACUUGGAUUAAUACUCUAAGAUAGUGGACGUUACUCGCAGAAUAAGCACCGGCUAACUCUGUGCCAGCAGCCGCGGUAAUACAGAGGGUGCGAGCGUUAAUCGGAUUUACUGGGCGUAAAGCGUGCGUAGGCGGCUUUUUAAGUCGGAUGUGAAAUCCCUGAGCUUAACUUAGGAAUUGCAUUCGAUACUGGGAAGCUAGAGUAUGGGAGAGGAUGGUAGAAUUCCAGGUGUAGCGGUGAAAUGCGUAGAGAUCUGGAGGAAUACCGAUGGCGAAGGCAGCCAUCUGGCCUAAUACUGACGCUGAGGUACGAAAGCAUGGGGAGCAAACAGGAUUAGAUACCCUGGUAGUCCAUGCCGUAAACGAUGUCUACUAGCCGUUGGGGCCUUUGAGGCUUUAGUGGCGCAGCUAACGCGAUAAGUAGACCGCCUGGGGAGUACGGUCGCAAGACUAAAACUCAAAUGAAUUGACGGGGGCCCGCACAAGCGGUGGAGCAUGUGGUUUAAUUCGAUGCAACGCGAAGAACCUUACCUGGUCUUGACAUAGUAAGAACUUUCCAGAGAUGGAUUGGUGCCUUCGGGAACUUACAUACAGGUGCUGCAUGGCUGUCGUCAGCUCGUGUCGUGAGAUGUUGGGUUAAGUCCCGCAACGAGCGCAACCCUUUUCCUUAUUUGCCAGCGGGUUAAGCCGGGAACUUUAAGGAUACUGCCAGUGACAAACUGGAGGAAGGCGGGGACGACGUCAAGUCAUCAUGGCCCUUACGACCAGGGCUACACACGUGCUACAAUGGUCGGUACAAAGGGUUGCUACCUAGCGAUAGGAUGCUA